Acanthosepion pharaonis is the source of this 114-nucleotide non-coding RNA. The record is from the annotation of a GenBank genome assembly. NCBI's taxonomy places the organism in Eukaryota, Metazoa, Mollusca, Cephalopoda, Sepiida, Sepiidae.
UUACGACCAUAUCACGUUGAAACAACGAUUCCCGUACGAUCACCGAAGUUAAGCAACGUUAAGCCUGGCCAGUACCUAGAUAGAUAACCGCUCCAGAAUACCAGGUGCUGUAAG